This 397-nucleotide ribosomal RNA is filed under the name uncultured bacterium. RNAcentral describes it as "partial 16S ribosomal RNA". It matches the Rfam family "Bacterial small subunit ribosomal RNA", at positions 523 to 918 of the family's 1533-position model. The record is from RNAcentral.
AUACGUAGGUGACAAGCGUUAUCCGGAUUUACUGGGCGUAAAGGGCGUGUAGGCGGUCUUGCAAGUCAGAAGUGAAAUUCCUGAGCUCAACUCGGGCGCUGCUUCUGAAACUGCAGGACUUGAGUGCUGGAGGGGAUAGCGGAAUUCCUAGUGGAGCGGUAAAAUGCGCAGAUAUUAGGAAGAACACCGGUGGCGAAGGCGGCUAUCUGGACCGUAACUGACACUGAGGCGCGAAAGCGUGGGGAGCAAACAGGGUUAGAUACCCUGGUGGUCCACGCUGUAAACGAUGAAUACUAGGUGUAGGGGGUAUCGACUCCCUCUGUGCCGCAGUUAACACAAUAAGUAUUCCGCCUGGGGAGUACGGCCGCAAGGUUGAAACUCAAAUGAAUUGACGGGG